CCUGGACCCUGAAUCCAAUGACAAGUGUCCUUAUAAAAAGAAGAGAGGAUGCAGAGAGAAGAAGGAGAUUGAAGAUGGAGAUUACCCGGGACCCAGGAUGCUGGUGGAAGACUUUGAACGGCAGCUUCUCUUCCCGGCAACGCGCCCUCCCCCUUCUGAUUAUGGCCGUCUCCUAGCAAGGGGUCCGAUUGCUGUAUCUGAGCACUUACUGAGGGUUAUGCUCAUGGUUGCAGGAUGGCUGCUGUGCUUCCAGACAUCACAUCUUUAUCACAAGUGGACCAAAAGCCUUCUCCUCCCAGAGCCUGGUCUUUUUC
This is a long non-coding RNA of Hippopotamus amphibius kiboko, 314 nucleotides long. RefSeq lists it as uncharacterized. The record is from RefSeq and is a predicted model, not a curated record. The transcript is spliced from 3 exons. NCBI's taxonomy places the organism in Eukaryota, Metazoa, Chordata, Mammalia, Artiodactyla, Hippopotamidae.